Monomorium pharaonis (pharaoh ant) is the source of this 997-nucleotide long non-coding RNA. RefSeq lists it as uncharacterized. Lineage: Eukaryota; Metazoa; Arthropoda; Insecta; Hymenoptera; Formicidae. The transcript has 2 exons. The record is from RefSeq and is a predicted model, not a curated record.
AGUUCGAAUAUAUGUUCUUACUUUUGAUGGAUGUUCGAGUUUUCUUUUUGUUUAUAUUUAUAUUCUGCUUCCUCGUUAAGAUAGAGAGCAUAUCCAGUAUCAGGGUAAUCGGAUGUAUCGGGCUAAACCCCCCGCUACUGUAUAUGCUCUCUAUCUAAACGAAGAAGCAGAAUAAGAACAUGAACGAAGAGAAAAGAACUCAAACUUCUAUCAAAGAUAAGAACGAACAUAUAUUUGAAAAUAUUUGUUAUGACAACAAUAACAAUAGAUAACGCCCAACAAUAAGAAAGUGUUGUAUGGCCAACUCGAUCAUGCGACAAACCGCACAUAUGAAUCAGUGCUAGUAUUGAUAAUCUAUCGAGAAGAAUUAAUUUGAAUUUGCCCUAACAUUUUCGCCCACCUUCGACAACAGCAUUGAUGAAAUAUUAACCUCUGGAUCUGUAGGUAGUAUACACAAUUUGACAAUUAAACGUUUUAAGGUCGAAGUUGACGUAUGAAUAGUCACUACUCGUUUAAAGAAGUUACAAUUACAGGAUAUAUUUUUAUACUUAAAUGGGAUGAGUACAUAAGAAAUAUAUGUAGGUGUAAUUUUAUAAAUAUGUACGAAAAACAAUUGUUAAAUAUGUUACAUUAACCCUCGGAGAACACAUAGGGUCAAUUUGACCCUUACCUCGAAUUUGAUCAUGCUUCUUUUGUACAGCGCAACACCUAAUAGAUGUUGGGCAUUAUUCGAAGUUGGUGCAGGGUCAUUCUGACCCUGUUGUGUACUAAGCAUCGGUUUUUCAAUAGUGAGCACGAUGGCAUAUAGUUUGCGGUCACAUAUUCAGAAUGCCUUAGUACGUGUCGAGCAAGAAUAUUACGAUGACAACAGUUCUUCUGAGGUGAAUAAUGUGUCAGUACAGUCAAACACUGACACGUCGUAUUCAGAUUAUAAUGAAGCCGUCGCCGACAAUAAAUAAGUUAACUUUUACCACAAGUCAUUUAAAUAAUAAAGUAU